Molecule: ribosomal RNA, 479 nt
Filed under: uncultured bacterium
Lineage: Bacteria
Description: bacterial SSU rRNA
Rfam family: Bacterial small subunit ribosomal RNA
Source: RNAcentral
GACGAACGCUGGCGGCGUGCUUAACACAUGCAAGUCGAGCGAGGCCCCUCCUUCGGGAGGGUGUCCUAGCGGCGAACGGGUGAGUAACACGUGGGCAACCUGCCCUCAGCUCUGGGAUAACCCCGGGAAACCGGGGCUAAUACCGGAUACGACCUCGUCAGGCAUCUGUCGAGGUGGAAAGUUUUUCGGCUGAGGAUGGGCCCGCGGCCUAUCAGCUUGUUGGUGGGGUGACGGCCUACCAAGGCGACGACGGGUAGCCGGCCUGAGAGGGUGACCGGCCACACUGGGACUGAGACACGGCCCAGACUCCUACGGGAGGCAGCAGUGGGGAAUAUUGCGCAAUGGGCGAAAGCCUGACGCAGCGACGCCGCGUGAGGGACGAAGGCCUUCGGGUUGUAAAGCUCUUUCAGCUGGGAAGAUAAUGACGGUACCAGCAGAAGAAGCCCCGGCUAACUCCGUGCCAGCAGCCGCAGUAAGAC